GGUUCAGAAUGAACGCUGGCGGCAUGGAUUAGGCAUGCAAGUCGAACGUGCUCCCUUCGGGGAGAAAGUGGCGAAAGGGUGAGUAACACGUGAGCAACCUGCCUCCGGAUCCGGAAUAAUCCAGGGAAACUUGGUCUAAAACCGGAUGAAGACAUUGGUCCGCAUGGUCUAAUGUUAAAAUAUUUAUAGUCCGGAGAGGGGCUCGCGGCCCAUUAGCUUGUUGGCGGGGUAAUGGCCCACCAAGGCUACGACGGGUAGGUGGUCUGAGAGGAUGGUCACCCACACUGGGACUGAGACACUGCCCAGACUCCUACGGGAGGCUGCAGUCGAGAAUCUUCCGCAAUGGGCGCAAAGCCUGACGGAGCGAUGCCGCGUGAGGGAUGAAGGCCUUCGGGUUGUAAACCUCUGUCAUCCGGGACGAAAACAAUGACGGUACCGGAAAAGGAAGCCACGGCUAACCACGUGCCAGCAGCCGC
RNAcentral lists this ribosomal RNA (476 nucleotides) under uncultured bacterium. RNAcentral describes it as "bacterial SSU rRNA". It matches the Rfam family "Bacterial small subunit ribosomal RNA", at positions 21 to 518 of the family's 1533-position model. The record is from RNAcentral.